This is a long non-coding RNA of Triplophysa rosa, 2856 nucleotides long. RefSeq lists it as uncharacterized. The transcript is spliced from 3 exons. The record is from RefSeq and is a predicted model, not a curated record. NCBI's taxonomy places the organism in Eukaryota, Metazoa, Chordata, Actinopteri, Cypriniformes, Nemacheilidae.
CAGAUCUGAAGGAGAAAAGAUAUAUGAAGCAAACAUAAAACUAGUGUUGUCACGGUACCAAAAUUUCAGUAGUCGGUACCAAUACCAGUAAAAUUCCACGGUUCUCGGUACCAAUUUCGGUACCAAACCAAAACACCAGUACAUGCUAAUUGAAACAAUUUUAUUAAUAAAGCUCAUUGUUAAUAUAAAUGUAUAGAAAGCAAUGCCAUUUUGUAUACAUGUAGUAUAAGUUAAUUGUUGCUGAAACUGUUGUGUGUGCUCUGCUGAUGCUGAUGAACAUCCUCCUCAGUCUGCUGCUGUAUAAGACGAAUAGAAUAAACUUCAAUAAGUCAACUGACUGAACAAACAUGCAUAUGCAAUAUUAAAACAAACCUCAGUUUUUAUACUGCAUUUACACAAGAUUACUUACAUUAAGGUAACUGUAUAUUAAAAUAAUAAAUGCAACAGAUAUAUUUUUCUUUAGUUUAAAUGUGGCUUUUUAAACCUAAUAAAGUUAUCUAUCCAAGACAUACACAUUUGCUAGUCAUACAGUUAGUAUGAUAGUUUUCUAGCACAUAGAUUUCAGAUAGGCCUAUAUAAAAUAGGUACUGUAAAACCCACCCUGUCCUCCCAUUUAUUUUACCCCAUUACAGUUAUAAAAGCAUUAAAUGGUUAAUAAGGACACUUGACUGGAUUAGCAUUGGCGCUAACAAAUUAACACGCAAACAGGGACGUUUAUUUUAACGUAACCUUUAAAUUUAACAUAUGAUACAACAUUCAUAAUGCAAACGCGAACAGAAUUUGAAACUUGCUUGAACUUGUAAACUUAAAUCCGGAUGCUUCCUUGUUUCACCACAAAACUCUGUUCGUUUUCUUCGUGAUAUGACUUUAAUCUGAAGUAUUUCUGUGCGUGUCUCUUGUGGAUCGGAGCCGCGCUUAUCCGCUCAUCACGUCUUAUUGCGUCUAUAAAAAGUUUCCGACUGACAACCUGUCAGACAAAGCAUCAGUACCCGGUUGACCUGGUACGUCGGUGGUACCGGGUCUUAUGAAAAUAGGUACCGACAACUUUUUUAUUUUUAGGUACCGACUUGGACCCGAAGUACCGGUACUUUUGACAACACUACAUAAAACUGUGUGUGCUUGAUUUAAGCAGCCUGAAAUGCAAGAUUAGCAGCAUCAGAUUUUAAACCUUUAUCCUGCUUAGAAACAUGCAUCUGUCUCCUCCGCCACAGACCAUUUUUUUCUUCACCUAAAUGAAGAAAACUGUAUAAAAACAUUUACAUUUUACGCCGCAAAAAGGAUCAGUAAUUUAUAUCUACAUUGUCUACAGGUGAAAUAGAAGCCUUUCCCAUCAUCAGACUACAUUUGUAAACCCGAAUGUUCAAAGAAAUUAAACCGUUUAAGUAGUGUAAACUUAAUUUUAUAUAAAAAAAUUCCUAACUUAAAUGUUUUGAGUUCCUGUAACUAAUUCUUACUUUUGAGUUAGUUUAACUUAAUUUCAACAAGUUAAUUCAAGACGAUUUGUUGAGAAUGAAAUUCAGUUCCCAGCAUGCUUUGAGUGAGACUGCAUUAGGAAAGUAAAUUUUGAAAUGAAAUGUUAUUUUAUGAGUUUUUAGAAAGGAAAAAGCCUUGUUAAUGAUGAAUGUUCAUUUAUCUUGGAUAUUUAGAAGAGUUUGUUGUAUUUUUGACUUUUGGGGUUACCAUCGUUCAGAAGAGUGGUGCUUAUGCUUAGGUUGUGGGAGGUGCAAUAGCAGUCGUGUGUGUUGCAUCACUCUCUGUGAAGGCUGUUUGUUAAUUUACUUACUAGUUUUGCUUACUUAAAAUUGGGUACAGUCAUUUUAUUUGUCUGUACACUCUAAAAAAUGCUGGGUUGAGCCUGUUGGGUCAUUUUGUUGGGUUAUUUUCUGAGUGUUAUUUUCCAAUCGUUGGGUUACCGGUUGGGUCCAAUUGAGUGACAGUUCAGAGAGUAAACCCCUCCCCCUCCUCGACGCCUCAGACAAAUUCUACCUUCGCGGGCAUUUUGAAUCACCUCAGGAACAAGCGAAGACAGCUGUUAUUCAGAGAAAAAAGGGUGCAGAAUAACAGCUAAUAAUAAUGGAUAAUUCUGUUCAGGAGAAAGAGGAAUGGAACUUCGAUGUCCUGAUACCAAGCUUAAAGAUGAACAAAUUGAUAAAGAAACCCCACUGCUGGACAUCCACUUCCCGAAGUGCACACCACACUGUUGUCUACUAACUCCCAGGAAAAGAUGGAUCCUCUUCAGUAAGACUGCUCCGUGGAUAUGUCAGGUCAAGCAGUACUGGAACCAAAACAACUAACGCUCUUUAAACUGUUUUGUGAGUUCAUAUGAAGAGGAAAAUUCUCGGACAUUCCUUGCAAAUGUCAACAAAUACCAUGAGAAAAUAACGUUUUUACCAAAGGUUUUUACUGUAAUAGCUGCACCGAUAUCAACAUUUUGGUGGUUCAAAUACCCAUGUGAGGUCUCUCUUCAAGUUAAGGUAUUGUUUGUACAUUUUAAUUCACAGAAAUCCUACAAAGUUUGUCACCUCCCAAAAACGGUGUCCUUUUUUCACAUCCUAACGCGUGUUUAUUUCCCAUUUUUUAAAUAGAAAACUUGUGCGUAGACUGAUAUUUUAUCAUACUGUAUAAGUGCAGUUCUACCAACAAGGGUUAAGUAAAAUAUAAACAAAUGGUUCAGUAUAUUGGUAACAAAUACAUUCUCUGAGUGUUUUUAUGUCACAUCCAUAACGCAAUGUAUAAAUAAAAAUGUUUAUGUUAAAAUCUAAACUUAUGUAAUUUAUUUAUUGACGUUGUUUAUUUUUUUGAUGUUAUUCGGUUUUAUUGUUCAUUGAGCAUUAAAAUAUUGCAUGCUUUUUAUGA